RNAcentral lists this ribosomal RNA (468 nucleotides) under uncultured bacterium. RNAcentral's name for it is "partial 16S ribosomal RNA". It matches the Rfam family "Bacterial small subunit ribosomal RNA", at positions 28 to 507 of the family's 1533-position model. The record is from RNAcentral.
GACGAACGCCGGCGGCGUGCUUAACACAUGCAAGUCGAACGGAAAGGCCCUGCUUUUGUGCGGUGCUCGAGUGGCGAACGGGUGAGUAACACGUGAGUAACCUGCCCUUGUCUUUGGGAUAACUUCAGGAAACUGGGGCUAAUACCGGAUAGGAGCUCCUGCUCCAUGGUGGGGGUUGGAACGUUUCGGCGGUUGGGGAUGGAUGGGCGGCUUAUCAGCUUGUUGGUGGGGUAGUGGCUUACCAAGGCUUUGACGGGUAGCCGGCCUGAGAGGGUGGACGGCCACAAUGGUACUGAGAGACGGAGCAGACUGCUACAGGAGGCAGCAGUGGGGAAUAUGGCACAAUGGGCGGAAGCCUGAUGCAGAGGCGCCGCGUGCGUGAUGACGGCCUUCGGGUUGUAAACCGCAGUCGCCUGUGACGAAGCGGGAGUGACGGUAAUGGGUAAAGAAGCACCGGCUAACUACGUG